AGUAGCGAGAAUAUCAUUUCCCCAAAAUGGCGGAGCUAAAAUUCGAAGCUCCUCUUGCAAACUUUGAGGGAGAAGAAUGGAAUGAUUUCAAUGAAUUCCAAGCAGCUGAAAAAACUGGUCCACCAAGUGUUAAAAGCGACACAAGUGAUGAUCGAAAUUCAUUAAUGGACAAUUUCAAUGAAACUAUAUCAACAUCUUUAGAAGAUCUUGUGAAUACAUUCGACGAAAAAUUAACAAAAUGCUUUAAAAAUCAUCAAGUAAAGCCGGAAACAAACAGUCAUCAAACUAUUAAAACGCAAGAAGAAAUAAUAAAUGAUUGCCAUCGUCAUUGACCGAAUAACAGAGCUCAAUCGAUAAAGUUGGUGAAAGACAAACUGUCCAGUAUAUUUUACUUCAAAUGUCUGUAAAACUGACAGAGAGGGACAAGCAAGAGAAAUAGACAGGCAGGGAGAAAGACAUUUUAAGUACAAAUGUGGUGGACAAUUACGGGUAAUUAUGGCAAUGUCCUACCCAUAGACUGGUCAAAAUCCUACGCUCGUCAACUACAUACAGAGGCCUUGCAUCUUGAAGAGAAAAAGGACGAAGAAGAAUUGAAUUUGGAUUUAUCAGACGACGAAGAAUUACAAGCUGCAUUUGAUAUGCACUCACUAAUUGUAUCUUCUCUUCAUCACGAGCCUCUUUUUUCGGCUGAUGAUGUUAUCAAUGAGAUAGAAGGAAUUAUGAAGGAAGCAGAUGAUUUUGAAGAAGAGACUGCUAUGAACAAUAGAUCUUCAACUUCCAUAGAAUUGCUACAAUUAAAAUAUAAGUCAGAUAUAACACCGUCAAAUAUAGAAGGAAAAGAUACAUCUGCCCUGAAAUCCCUAUCGACCGUGGCUUUGAAUGAACUAUACGAGGAAUUAGAGGGAACUGUAAAAGAAUUAUCUGAAACUCUAAUACAACAAUUAGCUCUCCGAGACGAAUUAGAAUACGAAAAAGAGCUAAAAAAUCAAUUCAUAUCCCUUCUUCUUUCAUUGCAGAAAAAAAGAAGAGAAUUACCGAUUUCAUCGUCCGGUAUUAAGGUUCCUGGUUCUAAAAAAGUCAUCAGCCCAGACGGUUUUGGAAAAUAUCUGACAAUGUCUAUACCAUAUAACGCGGAGAGAGUAGGCCCACCAACCAACGAGGAAUUACAAAUUUUUAUUAAGAUUAUGAAGGCAAUGAACGAAGAUAGCCCUGUUGUCCCUACUUUACUGACUGAUUACAUACUCAAAGUGGUUUGUCCUACUAACAACUAG
This 1271-nucleotide unclassified non-coding RNA is filed under the name Dimorphilus gyrociliatus. Its description in RNAcentral is "dgyrCDS7917". Lineage: Eukaryota; Metazoa; Annelida; Polychaeta; Dinophilidae. The record is from RNAcentral.